UUGAACGCUGGCGGCAGGCCUAACACCUGCAAGUCGCACGGUAACAGGAAGCAGCUUGCUGCUUCGCUGACGAGUGGCGGACGGGUGAGUAAUGUCUGGGAAGCUGCCUGAUGGAGGGGGAUAACUACUGGAAACGGUAGCUAAUACCGCAUAAUGUCGCAAGACCAAAGAGGGGGACCUUCGGGCCUCUUGCCAUCGGAUGUGCCCAGAUGGGAUUAGCUUGUUGGUGGGGUAACGGCUCACCAAGGCGACGAUCCCUAGCUGGUCUGAGAGGAUGACCAGCCACACUGGGACUGAGACACGGUCCAGACUCCUACGGGAGGCAGCAGUGGGGAAUAUUGCACAAUGGGCGCAAGCCUGAUGCAGCCAUGCCGCGUGUAUGAAGAAGGCCUUCGGGUUGUAAAGUACUUUCAGCGGGGAGGAAGGGAGUAAAGUUAAUACCUUUGCUCAUUGACGUUACCCGCAGAAGAAGCACCGGCUAACUCCGUG
This 489-nucleotide ribosomal RNA is filed under the name uncultured bacterium. RNAcentral describes it as "partial 16S ribosomal RNA". It matches the Rfam family "Bacterial small subunit ribosomal RNA", at positions 30 to 507 of the family's 1533-position model. The record is from RNAcentral.